RNAcentral lists this ribosomal RNA (497 nucleotides) under uncultured bacterium. RNAcentral describes it as "partial 16S ribosomal RNA". It matches the Rfam family "Bacterial small subunit ribosomal RNA", at positions 28 to 507 of the family's 1533-position model. The record is from RNAcentral.
GAUGAACGCUGGCGGCGUGCCUAAUACAUGCAAGUCGAGCGAACAGACGAGGAUUUUGCUCCUCGGACGUUAGGGGCGGACGGGUGAGUAACACGUGGUUAACCUACCUAUAAGACUGGGAUAACUUAGGGAAGCGGGAGUUAAUACCGGAAAUUAUAUUGAGUCGCAUGGUUGAUUAGUGAAAGACGGUUUUGCGGUCAGUUAUAGAUGGGUCCGCGCUGCAUUGGCUAGUUGGUAGGUUACCGGCUUAGCAAGGGAAGGAUGCGUAGCCGACCUGAGAGCGUGGUGGGUGGCCGGGGACAGUGGACCCGGUCCACGCUCCAGAGGGAGGCAGCAGUAGGGAAUCGUCCGCAAUGGGCGAAAGCCUGACGCAGGAACGCGGCGUGAGUCAUGAGGGACUUCGGAUCGUGAAACUCUGUUAUUAGUCGAUAACAAGUGUGGACGUGACUAUGCAGGUCUUGACGGUAACUGGUAAAGAAGCCCCGGCUAACUACGUG